GCUGGGCGUGGUGGUGCACGCCUGUAGUCCCAGCUACUUGGGAGGCUGAGACAGGAGAAUUGCUUGAACCCUGGAGGUGGAGUUGCAGUGAGCCACGAUUGGGCCACUGCAUCGCAGCCUGGGCGACAGAGCAAGACUCUGUCUCAA
This is a non-coding RNA of Homo sapiens (human), 147 nucleotides long. It matches the Rfam family "Metazoan signal recognition particle RNA". From Rfam's summary of the family: The signal recognition particle (SRP) is a universally conserved ribonucleoprotein. It is involved in the co-translational targeting of proteins to membranes. The eukaryotic SRP consists of a 300-nucleotide 7S RNA and six proteins: SRPs 72, 68, 54, 19, 14, and 9. NCBI's taxonomy places the organism in Eukaryota, Metazoa, Chordata, Mammalia, Primates, Hominidae. The record is from Rfam.